UUCCGGUUGAUCCUGCCGGAGGUUACUGCUAUCGAGGUUCGACUAAGCCAUGCGAGUCGAAUGCCGCAAGGCAUGGCGUACUGCUCAGUAACACGUGGACAACCUACCCUUAGGACUGGGAUAACCCCGGGAAACUGGGAAUAAUCCCCGAUAGUCCUCGAAGGCUGGAAUGCAUCGAGGGCGAAAGCUCCGGCGCCUAAGGAUGGGUCUGCGGCCUAUCAGGUAGUAGUGGGUGUAGCGUACCUACUAGCCUACGACGGGUACGGGUUGUGAGAGCAAGAGCCCGGAGAUGGAUUCUGAGACACGAAUCCAGGCCCUACGGGGUGCAGCAGGCGCGAAAACUUUACAAUGCUGGCAACAGCGAUAAGGGAACCUCGAGUGCCAGGUUACAAAUCUGGCUGUCGAGAUGCCUAAAAAGCAUUUCAUAGCAAGGGCCGGGCAAGACCGGUGCCAGCCGCCGCGGUAACACCGGCGGCUCGAGUGGUAACCGUUAUUAUUGGGUCUAAAGGGUCUGUAGCCGGCCGGAUAAGUCUCUUGGGAAAUCUGGCAGCUCAACUGUCAGGCUAUCAGGAGAUACUGUCUGGCUCGAGGCCGGGAGAGGUGAGAGGUACUUCAGGGGUAGGGGUGAAAUCUUGUAUUCCUUGAAGGACCACCAGUGGCGAAGGCGUCUCACC
This 674-nucleotide ribosomal RNA is filed under the name uncultured archaeon. RNAcentral describes it as "bacterial SSU rRNA". It matches the Rfam family "Archaeal small subunit ribosomal RNA", at positions 1 to 681 of the family's 1478-position model. The record is from RNAcentral.